RNAcentral lists this ribosomal RNA (468 nucleotides) under uncultured bacterium. RNAcentral's name for it is "partial 16S ribosomal RNA". It matches the Rfam family "Bacterial small subunit ribosomal RNA", at positions 28 to 507 of the family's 1533-position model. The record is from RNAcentral.
GACGAACGCUGGCGGCGUGCUUAACACAUGCAAGUCGAACGGAAAGGCCCUGCUUUUGUGGUGUGCUGGAGUGUCGAACGGGUGAGUAACACGUGAGUAACCUGCGCUUUACUGUGGGAUAACUUCAGGAAACUGGAGCUAAUAUCGGACAUGAGCACCGGCGGCAUGGUGGGGGUUUUAAAGUUUCGGCGGUUGGGCAUGGACAGGGGGACUUGCGUUGUGUUGGUGGGGUGGUGGGUUAAUAAGGCUUUGACGGGUAGCCGGCCUGAGAGGGUGACCGGCCACAUUGGCACUGGGAUAGGAGCCAGACUGCUACGGGAGGCAGGAGGGGGGAAUAUUGCACAAUGGGCGGAAGGCGGAUGCAGGGACGUCGGGUGCGGGAUGACGGCUUUCGGGUUAGAAACCGCUUUCGCCUGUAAAGAAGAGUGAGUGACGGUAAUGGGUAAAGAAGCACCGGCUAACUACGUG